This 1534-nucleotide long non-coding RNA is filed under the name Sus scrofa (pig). RNAcentral's name for it is "lncRNA (ENSSSCG00030038559.1)". The record is from RNAcentral. Lineage: Eukaryota; Metazoa; Chordata; Mammalia; Artiodactyla; Suidae.
CAGCAGCAUGUGAGAAUGUCAGCCAUAAGCACCAAAGAGAAAAAGAAAGCAAAGGAAUGGGUGUGGGAAGUCUGGGGUGGGGGUGGGGGUGGAGGCGGUGGGGUAUCUAGUGGUUUGUAUGUCUUUCUGCAAGGAUUUCCCAAACCCCUCUUCCUCAGAACUGCUUCUGUCUUACAGGCUGCCAGUGCACAGUAUAGGUAGCUUGAUGACGGUAUUUAACACAUGCGUCCUUGUACUUAUAUAGACGGGCUAUUUAUACACAUGGGUCAUGCGUUGCAACUGGAAUCUAGGUCCCUAGAGACUUGGUACCUUCAAACUCCAGCCCCUGGACAUGCUUUACACAGCCGCUGUUCACAGGGUGUUUCCUGAAUGGAGAGAGAGCUCUGCCCAUCAGAAGUCCAGUCUAAUGUACGUGGGCUUCUGUUUUUGCCCCUUCAGUGUUUUUUCCUAUACAUUUCUCUCCUUGUUUUUCUUUCCUGUUUGCAACAGAGGUUUUUUUAAAUACUUUCCGGAGAAGCGAUGGAGAAAAGCAUAAAACAGACUCGGGGAGAGGAACUUAAACUGGGACCACAAGUGAGGUCCCUACAACCACCUCGGAUCCAGGACCGUCCUCCAGACACUGGCACCACAAGGUCCAGAUCUACUGUGGCUGCUAGGAAUCUGCUCCUCGGAGAGUCCAUCUCCGUCAUCGAUUCUGGGUAACACCCACCUUUUCCUUGUGCUCUCUUGAGCGCACUCUUGACCUUGCAACUAAAUGAACUGAACUAGAGCGGGAAUGGCUGAGGCACAGUCUUAAAAACAAAAUUCUGACUGUAAAAUUCGAAGGAUCCUAAGGGUUUUCUAACUCAAAGCAUGCAUGGAUUCUGACAAUUAAACAACACUUGCGACACCCAAAGCUGCUUGUAUUUCACGGCAUCAAGACAGAGGACAAGCUAUGACCAGACCUAACUGUUUUUAGUUUUUAAAAAAGUGCUUGUAACUGUGCAAAAGAGGUGAUGCUCAGUCCAGAGCAACGCAAAGACCAACUAAGAUUAUCCCCGGGGCCUAAGCUCUGCUGUGAGGGUGUGACUGACAUACAGUUAGGGCAGAGACUGUGAACCUCUAAAUGUCACUUUGGAUGGACAUAAACCAGUCCCUCAUCAAAGGCUGCAUUUUGUAAAAGGGCACCCACUGAGCAGCUCUUGACCUACCAGAACACUGGCCUUCACAGCAUCCUGACAGACACAGUAUAAAGAGUUCCGGACUAAAAUGAAAGAUCCUGGGAGUUCCCACUGUGGUGCAGUGGGUUAAGGAUCCGGCAUUGGCACAGCUGUGGUUUAAGUUGCAUCUGUGGCUCAGAUUCCAUCUCUGACCUGGGAACUUCUAUAUGCCUCAGGUGCAGCCAAAAACAACCAAACAAAAAGAGUGAUCCUGGGUAAGACUCCCAGCUCUUCAUGUAGCAGCCAUGUGACUUGAACAAGCAACUUUAACUUUCUAAGCCACAUCCAUGCAACGAAAAGCAUGUACUAAAUAAAAGAUCAUCAAUGGAUAAACA